AUGAGGGUUUUUUUGGUUCCUAGAGCAAGUAUUGAGAAUGCAAGUGCUGUGCAGCCGGAAUCAGAACAAGACCCUCCUAUUCAUGUUGCUAACAAUAGUGAGUUUAAUCCGGACGAAAUUCAAUCUGAUCCCGCACUGAGAAAACAAAUUGCUGAAUAUGCACCACAAAUUCAAGACCAAGUUAGGAGGGCAUACAUAUUAAAGGGUCGAAGUAAACCAGUAUUAGAAUUUCGCCGGACGGAUUCAAGAGCAUUUUCUAAGUCAUGGUAUGAAAAGUAUAACUGGAUAGAAUAUAGCGAGUCCGAGGAUGCAGCUUUUUGUUUCUAUUGUUUCUUGUUCAAGCAACCUGGAAGGGCUGAACACUUUGGGUUUGAAGUCUUCACCAAAACAGGUUUUAGGGACUGGAAACAUGCAUGUAGAGCCUUACCUGAGCAUGUAGGUGGUCUGAAUAGUGGUCACAACAAUUGUGUUAGGCAUUAUGAUGAUUUCAAAAAUCAAAGACAAAGUGUGUCAACCAUGUUCGCUUGUGCAACUGAGGAAUCUCACAGAUUAUAUAAGAUCCGCUUGACUUCUUCUCUAGAGUGUGUAAGGUAUCUCAUAGCACAAGGUUUGUCAUUCGGUGGCCAUGAUGAAUUUACUACUUCAUUGAACAAGGGAAACUUUCUAGAGAUGAUAGAUUGGUUAAAGGAUAGCAAUGAAGAAGUAAGAGAUGCUUUUGAUCAUGGUGGAGAAAACUGCAAGAUGACUUCCGGUGAAAUACAAAAGGACCUUGCAAGGUGUUGUGCAGAAGAAGUCACCGAAGUGAUUAUGCGGGAGCUUGGUGAUAAGAAGUUCUCUGUUCUUAUUGAUGAGUCACGCGAUAUAUCGGUGAAAGAACAAAUGGCAGUAAUGUUGAGGUUAGUAACUAUCUUUUAUUUUUGGGGUUCUUUAUUUACUUCAAUUCUUCGUUCAUCCAUGAUUUAUCUUUUCAUUCUAAUUUUUUGUAGGUAUGUGAAUGAAGGGAAGGUUGUGGAACGAUUUCUAUGUCUGCACCACAUCAAAGAUACUACAUCCGAGUCACUGAAGUUAGCUCUUGUAAAGCUUCUUGAUCAUUACAAAUUACAAUUUCAAGGCUACGAGGGCAAGGGUAUGACGGUGCUUCAAACAUGA
RNAcentral lists this ribosomal RNA (1149 nucleotides) under Triticum aestivum (bread wheat). RNAcentral's name for it is "partial small subunit ribosomal RNA". The record is from RNAcentral. Lineage: Eukaryota; Viridiplantae; Streptophyta; Magnoliopsida; Poales; Poaceae.